RNAcentral lists this ribosomal RNA (472 nucleotides) under uncultured bacterium. Its description in RNAcentral is "partial 16S ribosomal RNA". It matches the Rfam family "Bacterial small subunit ribosomal RNA", at positions 30 to 507 of the family's 1533-position model. The record is from RNAcentral.
AGUGAACGCUGGCGGUAGGCCUAACACAUGCAAGUCGAACGGCAGCACAGUAAGAGCUUGCUCUUACGGGUGGCGAGUGGCGGACGGGUGAGGAAUACAUCGGAAUCUACUUUUUCGUGGGGGAUAACGUAGGGAAACUUACGCUAAUACCGCAUACGACCUACGGGUGAAAGCAGGGGAUCUUCGGACCUUGCGCGAUUGAAUGAGCCGAUGUCGGAUUAGCUAGUUGGCGGGGUAUAGGCCCACCAAGGCGACGAUCCGUAGCUGGUCUGAGAGGAGGACCGGAGUCAUGGGGACUGCGAGACGGACCAGUGGCGGACGGGAGACAGCGGUGGUGAAUCUUGCACAACGGUAGGAAGCGUGAGACAGCAACGCUGCGUGUGGGAUGACGGUCUGCGGGGAGUAAAAAGCUGCCGCCUGUGACGAAGCGUGAGUGACGGUAAUGGGAGAAGAAGCACCGGCUAACUACGUG